RNAcentral lists this ribosomal RNA (513 nucleotides) under uncultured bacterium. Its description in RNAcentral is "bacterial SSU rRNA". It matches the Rfam family "Bacterial small subunit ribosomal RNA", at positions 336 to 865 of the family's 1533-position model. The record is from RNAcentral.
CUCCUACGGGAGGCAGCAGUCGGGAAUUUUGGGCAAUGGGGGAAACCCUGACCCAGCAACGCCGCGUGAAGGAUGAAGUAUUUCGGUAUGUAAACUUCGAAAGAAUAGGAAGAAUUAAUGACGGUACUAUUUAUAAGGUCCGGCUAACUACGUGCCAGCAGCCGCGGUAAUACGUAGGGACCAAGCGUUGUUCGGAUUUACUGGGCGUAAAGGGCUCGUAGGCGGCAUGGCAAGUCACUUGUGAAAUCUCCGGGCUUAACUCGGAACGGCCAAGUGAUACUGCUGAGCUAGAGUGCAGAAGGGGCAAUCGGAAUUCUUGGUGUAGCGGUGAAAUGCGUAGAUAUCAAGAGGAACACCUGAGGUGAAGACGGGUUGCUGGGCUGACACUGACGCUGAUGCGCGAAAGCUAGGGGAGCAAACGGGAUUAGAUACCCCGGUAGUCCUAGCCCUAAACGAUGAAUACUUGGUGUCUGGAGGUUUAAUACUCCGGGUGCCGUCGCUAACGUUUUUAGU